RNAcentral lists this transfer RNA (73 nucleotides) under bacterium. RNAcentral's name for it is "tRNA-Phe". It matches the Rfam family "tRNA". Rfam says of the family: Transfer RNA (tRNA) molecules are approximately 80 nucleotides in length. Their secondary structure includes four short double-helical elements and three loops (D, anti-codon, and T loops). The record is from RNAcentral. RNAcentral also lists the same sequence under 2 other names.
GCCCUGAUAGCUCAGUCGGUAGAGCAGAGGACUGAAAAUCCUCGUGUCGGUGGUUCGAUUCCGCCUCAGGGCA